RNAcentral lists this ribosomal RNA (396 nucleotides) under Triticum aestivum (bread wheat). Its description in RNAcentral is "partial small subunit ribosomal RNA". The record is from RNAcentral. Lineage: Eukaryota; Viridiplantae; Streptophyta; Magnoliopsida; Poales; Poaceae.
AUGGCUACCAGCACCAGCUCCGCUGCCCUCCUCAUCGCCCUGGUCGCCCUGGCUGGCCUCGCCGACGUCCUUGCCGUUCAUGCUCACGCCGCGGUGGCGGUAAAGACGAUGAUGGAGCGCCCAACAACAAUGGAGCUGGAUGGGAAGAUGCAGUGCAUGAUGGGGUGCUUCACGAUGGUGAUGUUCUGCGCAUUCAAGUGCAUGAUUCCCUGCGUGGUCGCGUGCCCCGCCCUGCCGCUCUGCAUCACCAACUGCGACCUCAAGACCCUUGGCUGCAUGCUCCGCUGCGGCAUGAUGCCCUCGCCCAAGCCCAAGCCCAAGCCCAAACCCAAGCCCAAGCCCAAGCCACCUGCCCCGCCGGGCCUGCACCUAGACGCCCUCGAUCACCAUGCAUGA